RNAcentral lists this ribosomal RNA (233 nucleotides) under uncultured bacterium. Its description in RNAcentral is "partial 16S ribosomal RNA". It matches the Rfam family "Bacterial small subunit ribosomal RNA", at positions 28 to 261 of the family's 1533-position model. The record is from RNAcentral.
GACGAACGCUGGCGGCGUGCUUAACACAUGCAAGUCGAGCGGUAAGGCCCUUUCGGGGGUACACGAGCGGCGAACGGGUGAGUAACACGUGGGUGACCUGCCCUCAGCUCUGGGAUAAGCCUGGGAAACCGGGGUCUAAUACUGGAUAUGACUCCAUGACGCAUGUUGUGGGGUGGAAAGCCUUGUGCGGCUGAGGAUGGGCCCGCGGCCUAUCAGCUUGUUGGUGGGGGGAU